UACGAAGGGGGCAAGCGUUAAUCGGAAUUACUGGGCGUAAAGCGCGCGUAGGUGGUUCAGUAAGUUGGAAGUGAAAUCCCCGGGCUCAACCUGGGAACUGCUUUCAAAACUGCUGAGCUAGAGUACGGUAGAGGGUGGUGGAAUUUCCUGUGUAGCGGUGAAAUGCGUAGAUAUAGGAAGGAACACCAGUGGCGAAGGCGACCACCUGGACUGAUACUGACACUGAGGUGCGAAAGCGUGGGGAGCAAACAGG
RNAcentral lists this ribosomal RNA (253 nucleotides) under uncultured bacterium. RNAcentral's name for it is "partial 16S ribosomal RNA". It matches the Rfam family "Bacterial small subunit ribosomal RNA", at positions 524 to 776 of the family's 1533-position model. The record is from RNAcentral.